UUUUAAGAGCAAAGAAUGGAUGCCUUGGGUAAAAAAGAGGAUGAAGGACGCGUUUGGCUGCGAUAAGUUCUGGCGAGGUGCCAAAGACCGCUUGGAACCAGAAAUUUCCGAAUGGGGAAACCUUUCUACUAUAAGUAGAAGUAAAAUACCAAGACCCUGUGAAUUGAAAUAUCUUAGUAACAGGAGGAAAAGAAAUCGUAAGAGAUUCCCUUAGUAGUGACGAGCGAACGGGGAGUAGUCCAAACCAAAUCAGUGUAAGAUUCUAGUCGUUGCUGGUUUAGGGGUUGUGGGGUUAAUUGGGGAGUAGCUAGAAAUGCUCCAAAGUGACAAUAUUUAUUUAAAAGAAAUGUCUGGGAAGUCGUACCACAGAGGGUUAUAGUCCCGUAUUUGAAAAGUAAAUAUGCCUUUAAUUAAUUCCCAAGUAGUGUCGGACACGAGAAAUCCGGCAUGAAUCUGGGCCGACCACGGUCCAAGACUAAAUACUUUUUUACACCGAUAGCGCAUAGUACCGUGAGGGAACGGUGAAAAGAACCCCAGGAAGGGGAGUGAAAUAGAUCCUGAAAUUCUUUGCUUACAAUUGAGUGGGAGUCCCACAUCUUUUAAUUUUGACCAUCUUAAAUUGUCAUGCGAUAUGUUUAUGUAUUACAAAGUCAAAAGGACAAUAGUUAUUAUAUUUGAUAUACUUCAAAUAUAUGACAAAGAUUGCAACAACAUAAUGAUUUAAAGAAUUCUUGAUAUACAAAAGCCAAGCAACCACGAAAUUUGAUUUAUUAUGAAGCUUUUACCGAUAAAUCAAAGGCAUUGCUUAGAGAAAAAAGAUUAAAAACAUGAAGUAAGGCUAGACAAGAGUUGUUUAAAAGAAUUAUGAGUUUUUAAAGUUAAAAGGUGUGGGAUGACCACGUACCUAUUGACGAAUGGGCUAGCGAGUUAUUAAUACUAGCAAGGUUAAGACAGAUAUAGUUGGAGCCGUAGCGAAAGCGAGUCUUAAAUGGGCGAUUUAGUUAGUAUUGAUAAACCCGAAGCGAUAUGAGCUAGGCAUGGGCAGGCUGAAGAGUCGCGAAAGCGGUUUGGAGGGCCGAACGGGUUGGUGCUGCAAAACCUUCCGAUGACCUGUGUUUAGGAGUGAAAAGCUCAUCGAAUAUCGCGAUAGCUGGUUCUCUCCGAAAUGCAUUUAGGUGCAGCCUGUAAAUUAGGUUCCAUAGAGGUAGAGCUCUGAUAAGGCUAGGGGUGUCGAGAGGCAUUACCAAACCUUGUUAAACUUCGAAUGCUGUGGAGAAUUUUACAGAGUGAGACUGCGGGAGUAAGUUUCGUAGUCAAAAGGAUAACAGUCCAGAUUUCUGAUUAAGGUCCCCAAAGUGUAGUUAAGUGGAGAAGGAGGUAUUUUUACUAAUACAUUCAGGAGGUUUGCUUAGAAGCAGCAAUCCUUUAAAGAAAGCGUAACAGCUCACUGAACGAGUUAGAGUGCGCCGAAGAUGUAACGGGGCUAAACUACAUACCGAAAUCGAAAGUCAUAUUUAUAUGGCGGUAGGAGAGUGUUCUAUACGGGAUGAAGCAUAACUGUGAGGUUGUGUGGACUUUAUAGAAGUAAGAAUGCUAGCAUGAGUAACGACGCCGAGUAAAAAUCUCGGCCGCCGAAACCCUAAGGAUUCCUACGCAACGUUUAUCGUCGUAGGGUUAGUCGAGACCUAAGAUUUUACUAGAAGUAGUAUGUCGAUGGAUAGCAGGUUAAUAUUCCUGCACCUAUUUAUACAGUGAUGUGGUAACACAUUGGGAUGUGUGAGAGCUUACUAAGGAUGUGAGUCGAGAUAAUAAGAUGAUCCCGAUUUGUCGGGAAGCAUAUGUAGGAAAAUCCGCAUAUGUUUCAAAUCGAGUUUGAUCGAAAAUGAUCUUUUCGGAGUGAUUUAUUCUCAUAGUUCUAGUGUCGAGAAAAACCACUAAGCUUAUGUAUAAAUAGCUCGUACCCAGAUCAGACACUUGUAGGGUGGUAGAGAAUACCGAGGCGAUUGGGUUAACUAAUGGAUAAGGAACUAGGCAAAUUAGCGGGCGUACUUUCGAAAUAAGCCCUGCCUGCAGCAAUGUAGGCCGCAGCGAAUGACGUGGGGGGGACUGUUUAUCACAAACACAGCUCUCUGCUAACAUGCAAAUGGAUGUAUAGAGGGUGAUGCCUGUCCAAUGCCAGAAUGUUAUGCUCUCUUGUGCAAGCUCGAGAGUUAAGCACUGGUGAAUGACGGCCGUAACUAUGACGGUCCUAAGGUAGCGAAAUUCCUCGUCAGGUAAGUUCUGACGCGCAUGAACGGCACAACCAUCCCCACACUGUCUUGUCCUUAGACCCAGUGAAAUUACAAUCCCGGUAAAAAUGCCGGGUAGUUGCAGUUAGACGGAGAGACCCCGUGAAGCUUUACUGUAAAUUGAUAUUGGGCUGUAGUAUGUGUUGCUCAGCAUAAGUGGGAGGCUUUGAAGAUUUACCUUCGGGUGAGUUGGAGCCAUCAUUGAGAUACCACUCAAAACAUAUCGCAUCUCUAACCCCGCUAUAUAGCGGGGAACAGUGUCAGUUGGACAGUUUACCUGGGGCGGGUGCCUCCUAAAAUGUAACGGAGGCGUACAAAGGUUUGCUUAUUACGGAUGGAAACCGUGAUGGACGUGUAUUCGCACAAGCAAGCUUAACUGUGAGACUGACAGGUCGAACAGAUAGGAAACUAGGUGAAAGUGAUCCGGAUCUUCCGUGUGGAAGGGGAUCCGCUCAACGGAUAAAAGUUACUCCGGGGAUAACAGGCUAAUGGUAUCUAAGCGUUCAUAGCGACGAUACCGUUUGGCACCUCGAUGUCGGCUCGUCGCAUCCUGGGGCUGUAGAAGGUCCCAAGGGUUGGGCUGUUCGCCCAUUAAAGCGGUACGCGAGCUGGGUUCAGAACGUCGUGAGACAGUUCGGUCCCUAUCUACUGUAACCGUAGGCAAUUUGAAAGACCCUGACCCUAGUACGAGAGGACCGGGUUGGACAAGCCUCUGGUAGUACCAGUUGUCGCACCAGCGGCACGGCUGGAUAGCUAUGCUUGGAAAAGAUAACCACUGAAAGCAUCUAAGUGGGAAACUUGUCUUAAGAUUAGAUUGCCCUCUCUUUAUGAGUUAAGAGCCCUGCGAGACUAGCAGGUUGAUAGGCAUUAUGUGUAAGUCUAGUAAUAGAUUUAGCAGAAAUGUACUAAUAGCUCGAGCGA
This 3209-nucleotide ribosomal RNA is filed under the name candidate division CPR1 bacterium ADurb.Bin160. RNAcentral's name for it is "bacterial LSU rRNA". It matches the Rfam family "Bacterial large subunit ribosomal RNA". Lineage: Bacteria; candidate division CPR1. The record is from RNAcentral.